This 497-nucleotide ribosomal RNA is filed under the name uncultured bacterium. RNAcentral's name for it is "partial 16S ribosomal RNA". It matches the Rfam family "Bacterial small subunit ribosomal RNA", at positions 34 to 507 of the family's 1533-position model. The record is from RNAcentral.
CCUGCCCACUGCCUGCGAUCCUAGUCCAUUCCCGCCACGCCUACCGGGGAGGAGCUUUCUCCUGUGGGAUUCGCGGCUGCCGGGUGAGUGAUACGUUGGUCUCCUGCCUCUAACCGUGGGUUAACUUCCAGCCUCCGCCGCUCAUGCCGCCGGGUUUAUAGACCCACACUCGUUCAUACAGAACGCAAUGUUUCCUAUCACUUAUUGCUGUGGCCGCGCCUCCUUACGCAAUUGGCAAGGUAACGGCUUACCCAGGCGACGAUGCGUAGCCGACCUGAGAGGGUGAUCGGCCACACUGGAACUGAGACACGGUCCAGACUCCUACGGGAGGCAGCAGUAGGGAAUCUUCCGCAAUGGGCGAAAGCCGGACGGAGCAACGCCGCGUGAGUGAUGAAGGUCUUCGGAGCGUAAAACUCUGUUAUUAGGGAAGAACAAAUGUGGAAGUAACUAUGCACGUCUGGACGGUACCUAAUCAGAAAGCCACGGCGAACUACGGG